AGCGGCGAACGGGUGAGUAACACGUGAGCAAUCUGCCCUUCUCUUCGGAAUAACCAUUGGAAACGAUGGCUAAUGCCGAAUAUGACCUCCUUUCGCAUGUUUGGAGGUGGAAAGCUCCGGCGGAGAAGGAUGAGCUCGCGGCCUAUCAGCUUGUUGGUGAGGUAAUGGCUCACCAAGGCAUUGACGGGUAGCCGGCCUGAGAGGGUGACCGGCCACACUGGGACUGAGACACGGCCCAGACUCCUACGGGAGGCAGCAGUGGGGAAUAUUGGACAAUGGGCGAAAGCCUGAUCCAGCAACGCCGCGUGAGGGAUGACGGCCUUCGGGUUGUAAACCUCUUUCAGCAGGGACGAAGCGAAAGUGACGGUACCUGCAGAAGAAGGACCGGCCAACUACGUGCCAGCAGCCGCGGUAAUACGUAGGGUCCGAGCGUUGUCCGGAAUUAUUGGGCGUAAAGGGCUCGUAGGCGGUUUGUCGCGUCGGGAGUGAAAACUCAGGGCUCAACCCUGAGCGUGCUUCCGAUACGGGCAGACUAGAGGUAUUCAGGGGAGAACGGAAUUCCUGGUGUAGCGGUGGAAUGCGCAGAUAUCAGGAGGAACACCGGUGGCGAAGGCGGUUCUCUGGGAAUUACCUGACGCUGAGGAGCGAAAGCAUGGGGAGCGAACAGGAUUAGAUACCCUGGUAGUCCAUGCCGUAAACGUUGGGCGCUAGGUGUGGGGACCUUCCACGGUUUCCGUGCCGCAGCUAACGCAUUAAGCGCCCCGCCUGGGGAGUACGGCCGCAAGGCUAAAACUCAAAGGAAUUGACGGGGGCCCGCACAAGCGGCGGAGCAUGCUGAUUAAUUCGAUGCAACGCGAAGAACCUUACCUGGGUUUGACAUA
RNAcentral lists this ribosomal RNA (881 nucleotides) under Aeromicrobium sp. CNRA13. RNAcentral's name for it is "bacterial SSU rRNA". It matches the Rfam family "Bacterial small subunit ribosomal RNA", at positions 94 to 988 of the family's 1533-position model. Lineage: Bacteria; Bacillati; Actinomycetota; Actinomycetes; Propionibacteriales; Nocardioidaceae. The record is from RNAcentral.